AGGGAACGGCAGGAGGGAACGCUGGGGAGGGGAGACAAUCUGGAGAGUUCCAGAAAAAGCAAGUAGGACUCUUUCCAGAAGUUUGGGCAAGAUUUUCCCUGGACCAGGGCGUGGGUUCUCCAGUACUCGUCCCUCCCGGUCACUGAGAUGCUCUGAGUUUCCGGUCUGAACCUGAACAGAAAGAGGUGUAGUCCCUCCUUUCUUGAACGGGAAAACUGAACGCACAUACGUACUUGCCACGCCUAAGGCUGCGGAGUGAGCAGAUGGAAAAUGCGGGACUCAAAACCUCCCCUCUCUAUUGUGCACUCGCCGGAGCAGCGGCCCACCAGCCCCCGGCUCCGGCGCCACCAUCUUCGCGCUAAGCUCUGGCCAAGGCCGCUGCGGCAUCGCGGUGAUCCGGACCAGCGGCUCCGCCAGCGGCCACGCCCUCCGAAUUCUCACGGCACCCCGAGACCUGCCCCCUGCUCGCCACGCCAGCGUGCGCCUCCUCAGAGACCCCCGCUCCGGGGAGCCUCUGGACCGCGCACUGGUACUCUGGUUCCCAGGUCCCCAGAGUUUCACUGGUGAGGACUGCGUGGAGUUCCACGUGCAUGGAGGCCCGGCAGUGGUGAGCGGCGUCCUGCAGGCCUUGGGCAGCGUGCCAGGGCUUCGACCGGCGGAGGCAGGCGAGUUCACCAGGCGGGCGUUCGCCAAUGGGAAGCUGAACCUGACCGAAGUGGAGGGGCUGGCGGACCUUAUCCACGCAGAAACCGAGGCGCAGCGGCGGCAGGCCCUCAGGCAGCUGGACGGGGAGCUGGGCCACCUCUGCCGUGGCUGGGCCGAGACCCUCACCAAAGCUCUUGCCCACGUGGAGGCCUAUAUCGAUUUCGGCGAGGAUGACAACCUGGAGGAGGGGGU
This 897-nucleotide small RNA is filed under the name Pongo abelii (Sumatran orangutan). Its description in RNAcentral is "processed transcript". The record is from RNAcentral. Lineage: Eukaryota; Metazoa; Chordata; Mammalia; Primates; Hominidae.